AUGUUGUGGCCCGAUCUUGGGGUGGGGAGCAGUGGUACUUGGGCGGUUCUGGACUCGGGCCGCAGUCUGCCGGGGGGCGCAGUGCCCGCCGCCCGAGCCACAGAGCAUCACCCCGCCCCGCCCCCCGCGCCCAGUCUCUGGGCACCGGGGUGCCGCCCCCUCGCGUGGCGGCGCUUGGUCGCCUCAGGCAGAGGCAGAGCGCAUGGCACGCUCCUGGCCUGGCGAGAAGGGUCCCCAGGGCAGGUACCCCUGCCUGCAGACCCGCCCCGCUGCGGGAUCCUGCUGACAGUGACCGCCAGCCCGGGGCGACCCUGGCGCAGGGGAGUUCCCCGAGAUAGGUGCGCCCGGCCUCUCCCUGGGGCCGCCGUGCGCGGGCUGCUGGGUACCCCGCGCUGGGAGCGCUCCUCUCCUCGCGAGUCCCGCUCAUCGACUUCGUCUGGAAGGAGCGCCCCCGAGCGCCUAGGAUGUGUAGAAACCGCGCAGCCCGCCCCAGAGAGGUCGCAAACAGGGGGUCCCCCACCAAGGUCACCCGGAGCGCUCUGGCUGAGCUACCCAGACCGCCUGGGGCUGGGAGCAGGGAGCCAGGAGCCGGAGGCGCUGGCUGCCCGCCUCCUUUCCUGGUGUGGACUCCUUUCCUCCGCUUUCUCCUCCGCGGGCGGCCUGCGGCUACGCUGGAACCGCCGACCAUGCAGCGCCCAGUUCCCAGGCCGAUCACUGGGCUGGGCGAGCUUUGAAUGUGGUCCUCCCGGCAGCCCAGCGGAGCGCCGCCGCCGCGGGCCAGGCCUGGGACCUGGCGCUCCGGGCCGCCCGGGAGCGGAGGGAGAGAGAUGCUGCUGCACCGGCGCUUCUCAGAACCGAAAACCGAGCUGCUUGCGCGCCCAUGUGAUUGCACUGCACAUAAUGGGCCCCUGUUCUAGCUGUCAGAAGCGCCCACCAGCUCUGGGCGGCCCUGAGCUCCAGGUGCCGCCUCUGAAUCGCCCUCUGUGCAGGAUCCGGGGCCCUGCGGUACCAGGCGCCCUUCCUGCAGGGCUCUGUCUGGAGGGGGUUGCCGCUGGCCGCCUCGGCCCGCGGCGUGCUUCCCCGGGUGCCCUGCCAUUUCCUGCGGCUGGGGAAGCCCCAGAGAAAACCCUGGGUCUGGAAGCCUCGUCCCAGGCUGGCGCUCAAGCAGCUGCUUAG
Molecule: long non-coding RNA, 1176 nt
Filed under: Oryctolagus cuniculus (rabbit)
Lineage: Eukaryota; Metazoa; Chordata; Mammalia; Lagomorpha; Leporidae
Description: lncRNA (ENSOCUG00000033555.1)
Source: RNAcentral